RNAcentral lists this ribosomal RNA (253 nucleotides) under uncultured bacterium. RNAcentral's name for it is "partial 16S ribosomal RNA". It matches the Rfam family "Bacterial small subunit ribosomal RNA", at positions 524 to 776 of the family's 1533-position model. The record is from RNAcentral.
UACGUAGGGUCCGAGCGUUGUCCGGAUUUAUUGGGCGUAAAGAGCUCGUAGGCGGUUUGUCGCGUCUGCUGUGAAAACUCGGGGCUUAACCCCGGGCCUGCAUUCGAUACGGGCAGACUAGAGUUCGGUAGGGGAGUCUGAAAUUCCUGGUGUAGCGGUGAAAUGCGCAGAUAUCAGGAGGAACACCGGUGGCGAAGGCGGGACUCUGGGCCGAUACUGACGCUGAGGAGCGAAAGCGUGGGGAGCGAACAGG